UCAGCUCGUGUCGUGAGAUGUUGGGUUAAGUCCCGCAACGAGCGCAACCCCUGUGAUUUGUUGCCACCCGGUUUACCGGAGCACUCGAAUCAGACUGCCUCGAUCAACGAGGAGGAAGGUGGGGAUGACGUCAAGUCCGUAUGGCCCUUACGACCAGGGCUGCACACGUACUACAAUGCCCAGCACAAUGAGAACCGAGA
RNAcentral lists this ribosomal RNA (200 nucleotides) under uncultured Prosthecobacter sp. Its description in RNAcentral is "partial 16S ribosomal RNA". It matches the Rfam family "Bacterial small subunit ribosomal RNA", at positions 1055 to 1254 of the family's 1533-position model. The record is from RNAcentral. Lineage: Bacteria; Pseudomonadati; Verrucomicrobiota; Verrucomicrobiia; Verrucomicrobiales; Verrucomicrobiaceae.